This 497-nucleotide ribosomal RNA is filed under the name uncultured bacterium. RNAcentral's name for it is "partial 16S ribosomal RNA". It matches the Rfam family "Bacterial small subunit ribosomal RNA", at positions 28 to 507 of the family's 1533-position model. The record is from RNAcentral.
GAUGAACGCUGGCGGCGUGCCUAAUACACGCAAGUCGAGCGGGCGGACGAGAAGAUUGUUCCCUUGCUGUUAGCGGCGGACGGGCGAGUAACGAGUAGAUCAGAUACCUCUAUGACUGGGGUGACAACGGGAAACAGCAUAUAAUAAUGGAUAAUAUUAUCUACCGCUUGGAUCAAAAGUGAUAGACGGUCUUGCCGUCACUUAUAGCUGGUUCCGCGCUGCAUUGGCUAGUUGGUAAGGUAACGGCUUACCAAGGCGACGAUGCGUAGCCGACCUGAGAGGGUGAUCAGCCACACUGGAACUGAGACACGGUCCAGACUCCUACGGGAGGCAGCAGUGGGGAAUAUUGCGCAAUGGGCGAAAGCCUGACGCAGCAAUGCCGCGUGAGUGAAGAAGGUCUUCGGGUUGUAAAGCUCUGUUAUUGGGGAAGAACAGAUGUAGGUGUAUCUGUGGAUAUCUUGACGGUACCCAAAGAGUAAGCCACGGCUAACUUCGUG